GCCCAAUGUGAUUAUGACAUUUUGUCCAAAAAAGACAAAUAAUUUGUGGUGUACAAAUUUAAAAAGAAAUGCUUCAUUAUUCACGGCACAAAUUGCAAGAAACCAAUUUCAUGAAAUAAACUAUUCACACAUCCACAUGAAUGAGAAGCACAUAGGCCCCCACAAUAUACAAUUACAAAGGGCCUUCUUCUAAAAAAGAACAAC
Molecule: long non-coding RNA, 204 nt
Filed under: Amborella trichopoda
Lineage: Eukaryota; Viridiplantae; Streptophyta; Magnoliopsida; Amborellales; Amborellaceae
Description: long non-coding RNA (ATRI_LNC001202)
Source: RNAcentral